GCUUGCUACCUGACCUAGCGGCGGACGGGUGAGUAAUGCUUAGGAAUCUGCCUAUUAGUGGGGGACAACAUUCCGAAAGGAAUGCUAAUACCGCAUACGCCCUACGGGGGAAAGCAGGGGAUCUUCGGACCUUGCGCUAAUAGAUGAGCCUAAGUCAGAUUAGCUAGUUGGUGGGGUAAAGGCCUACCAAGGCGACGAUCUGUAGCGGGUCUGAGAGGAUGAUCCGCCACACUGGGACUGAGACACGGCCCAGACUCCUACGGGAGGCAGCAGUGGGGAAUAUUGGACAAUGGGCGAAAGCCUGAUCCAGCCAUGCCGCGUGUGUGAAGAAGGCCUUUUGGUUGUAAAGCACUUUAAGCGAGGAGGAGGCUACUUGGAUUAAUACUCUAGGAUAGUGGACGUUACUCGCAGAAUAAGCACCGGCUAACUCUGUGCCAGCAGCCGCGGUAAUACAGAGGGUGCGAGCGUUAAUCGGAUUUACUGGGCGUAAAGCGUGCGUAGGCGGCUUUUUAAGUCGGAUGUGAAAUCCCUGAGCUUAACUUAGGAAUUGCAUUCGAUACUGGGAAGCUAGAGUAUGGGAGAGGAUGGUAGAAUUCCAGGUGUAGCGGUGAAAUGCGUAGAGAUCUGGAGGAAUACCGAUGGCGAAGGCAGCCAUCUGGCCUAAUACUGACGCUGAGGUACGAAAGCAUGGGGAGCAAACAGGAUUAGAUACCCUGGUAGUCCAUGCCGUAAACGAUGUCUACUAGCCGUUGGGGCCUUUGAGGCUUUAGUGGCGCAGCUAACGCGAUAAGUAGACCGCCUGGGGAGUACGGUCGCAAGACUAAAACUCAAAUGAAUUGACGGGGGCCCGCACAAGCGGUGGAGCAUGUGGUUUAAUUCGAUGCAACGCGAAGAACCUUACCUGGUCUUGACAUAGUAAGAACUUUCCAGAGAUGGAUUGGUGCCUUCGGGAACUUACAUACAGGUGCUGCAUGGCUGUCGUCAGCUCGUGUCGUGAGAUGUUGGGUUAAGUCCCGCAACGAGCGCAACCCUUUUCCUUAUUUGCCAGCGGGUUAAGCCGGGAACUUUAAGGAUACUGCCAGUGACAAACUGGAGGAAGGCGGGGACGACGUCAAGUCAUCAUGGCCCUUACGACCAGGGCUACACACGUGCUACAAUGGUCGGUACAAAGGGUUGCUACCUAGCGAUAGGAUGCUAAUCUCAAAAAGCCGAUCGUAGUCCGGAUUGGAGUCUGCAGCUCGACUCCAUGAAGUC
This 1254-nucleotide ribosomal RNA is filed under the name uncultured Acinetobacter sp. Its description in RNAcentral is "bacterial SSU rRNA". It matches the Rfam family "Bacterial small subunit ribosomal RNA", at positions 78 to 1327 of the family's 1533-position model. The record is from RNAcentral. Lineage: Bacteria; Pseudomonadati; Pseudomonadota; Gammaproteobacteria; Moraxellales; Moraxellaceae.